Molecule: ribosomal RNA, 270 nt
Filed under: uncultured archaeon
Lineage: Archaea
Description: partial 16S ribosomal RNA
Rfam family: Archaeal small subunit ribosomal RNA
Source: RNAcentral
CAGCACCUCAAGUGGUCAGGAUGAUUAUUGGGCCUAAAGCAUCCGUAGCCGGCGCUGUAAGUUUUCGGUUAAAUCUGUACGCUCAACGUACAGGCUGCCGGGAAUACUGCAGCGCUAGGGAGUGGGAGAGGUAGACGGUACUCGGUAGGAAGGGGUAAAAUCCUUUGAUCUAUUGAUGACCACCUGUGGCGAGGGCGGUCUACCAGAACACGUCCGACGGUGAGGGAUGAAAGCUGGGGGAGCAAACCGGAUUAGAUACCCGCGUAGUCC